This 735-nucleotide ribosomal RNA is filed under the name uncultured Fusobacterium sp. RNAcentral describes it as "bacterial SSU rRNA". It matches the Rfam family "Bacterial small subunit ribosomal RNA", at positions 28 to 776 of the family's 1533-position model. Lineage: Bacteria; Fusobacteriati; Fusobacteriota; Fusobacteriia; Fusobacteriales; Fusobacteriaceae. The record is from RNAcentral.
GAUGAACGCUGACAGAAUGCUUAACACAUGCAAGUCAACUUGAAUUUGGGUUUUUAACUUAGGUUUGGGUGGCGGACGGGUGAGUAACGCGUAAAGAACUUGCCUCACAGCUAGGGACAACAUUUGGAAACGAAUGCUAAUACCUAAUAUUAUGAUAAUAGGGCAUCCUAUAAUUAUGAAAGCUAUAAGCGCUGUGAGAGAGCUUUGCGUCCCAUUAGCUAGUUGGAGAGGUAACGGCUCACCAAGGCGAUGAUGGGUAGCCGGCCUGAGAGGGUGAUCGGCCACAAGGGGACUGAGACACGGCCCUUACUCCUACGGGAGGCAGCAGUGGGGAAUAUUGGACAAUGGACCAAGAGUCUGAUCCAGCAAUUCUGUGCGCACGAUGAAGUUUUUCGGAAUGUAAAGUGCUUUCAGUUGGGAAGAAAGAAAUGACGGUACCAACAGAAGAAGUGACGGCUAAAUACGUGCCAGCAGCCGCGGUAAUACGUAUGUCACGAGCGUUAUCCGGAUUUAUUGGGCGUAAAGCGCGUCUAGGUGGUUAUGUAAGUCUGAUGUGAAAAUGCAGGGCUCAACUCUGUAUUGCGUUGGAAACUGUAUAACUAGAGUACUGGAGAGGUAAGCGGAACUACAAGUGUAGAGGUGAAAUUCGUAGAUAUUUGUAGGAAUGCCGAUGGGGAAGCCAGCUUACUGGACAGAUACUGACGCUGAAGCGCGAAAGCGUGGGUAGCAAACAGG